This 801-nucleotide ribosomal RNA is filed under the name Cryptosporidium sp. RNAcentral describes it as "partial small subunit ribosomal RNA". It matches the Rfam family "Eukaryotic small subunit ribosomal RNA", at positions 220 to 1067 of the family's 1831-position model. The record is from RNAcentral. Lineage: Eukaryota; Apicomplexa; Conoidasida; Eucoccidiorida; Cryptosporidiidae.
AACCAAUAUAAUUGGUGACUCAUAAUAACUUUACGGAUCACAAUUAAUGUGACAUAUCAUUCAAGUUUCUGACCUAUCAGCUUUAGACGGUAGGGUAUUGGCCUACCGUGGCAAUACGGGUAACGGGAAUUAGGGUUCGAUUCCGGAGAGGGAGCCUGAGAAACGGCUACCACAUCUAAGGAAGGCAGCAGGCGCGCAAAUUACCCAAUCCUAAUACAGGGAGGUAGUGACAAGAAAUAACAAUACAGGACUUUUUGGUUUUGUAAUUGGAAUGAGUUAAGUAUAAACCCCUUUACAAGUAUCAAUUGGAGGGCAAGUCUGGUGCCAGCAGCCGCGGUAAUUCCAGCUCCAAUAGCGUAUAUUAAAGUUGUUGCAGUUAAAAAGCUCGUAGUUGGAUUUCUGUUAAUAAUUUAUAUAAAAUAUUUUGAUGAAUAUUUAUAUAAUAUUAACAUAAUUCAUAUUACUAUUUUUUUUUUUAGAAUAUGAAAUUUUACUUUGAAAAAAUUAGGGUGCUUAAAGCAGGAAUAUGCCUUGAAUACUCCAGCAUGGAAUAAUAUUAAAGAUUUUUAUCUUUUUUAUUGGUUCUAAAAUAAAAAUAAUGAUUAAUAGGGACAGUUGGGGGCAUUUGUUUUUAACAGUCAGAGGUGAAAUUCUUAUAUUUGUUAAAGACAAACUAAUGCGAAAGCUUUUGCCAAGGAUGUUUUCAUUAAUCAAGAACAAAAGUUAGGGGAUCGAAGACGAUCAAAUACCGUCGUAUUCUUAACCAUAAACUAUGCCAACUAAAGAUUGGAGGUUGGUCCU